UAGACUACUUCAACUACAGGUGUAUACUGUAUAGUAUAAAUAGGAAAGUGGAUUAGGAUGAAUUUGCAGAGAGUUUGAGCUUCAUAUAUACAAAACAUGGCAGAGAAUAAUUCCCUUCUUCUACUUGUAGCUUUAUUAGCUUUCUCUACUAUUUUCUCACUUAAUGCUGCUUCAGUUUCAAGUACAUAAUCUUGAUCACUUCUUUAUCUAAUUCUUUUAGUGGCUUGAGCUACUCAUAUCCAUUUUUUUUCAUUGAACUUCAUUGUUCUUGUACUACAGGGAAUACACGUCUGUUUUUGCAUGAAAAUCAAGAGCUUCCACCACCUGCAUAUACUAACCAGGUACUUCUCCUUGUAUAUAUUACAACAACGUAUCCAGUGUAAUCUCAUAAAUAGGUCAGAAAAAAAUAGUGUGUUCGCUGACCUUACCCUUACCUUAUUUGUGAGAGUAAGGUUAAUUCAUAGAUUUCUUGUUUCUAAUCUCAUUAAAUAACUAGGGUCCGGGGAGAGUUGUGUAUCCAGACUUUACCCCUGUCUUGUGAGAAUACGUAUAGGGCUACUUCAUAGAUUUCUUGUUUCUGAUCACAUUUUUUAAUAUGACUGAAAGCAGAUGAUGAAAUUCGAAGCUAUGGAGGAAGAGUUCAUCAAUGGCAGGAUGGAUUUAGAAAGUCAUGAUUACCCUGGCUCGGGAGCGAAUAAUCGUCACACUCCAAGGCCACCUAUUGAGACAUAAUAUAAUUAAGUAAUUAAUUAAAAGUACAUUUUCUCUAAUAGUUUAAUGAUGCUUUUCGCUCAAAUAUGAUGCAGCCUACUCAACAUUCUGUCUGUUGUACGAUGUUUAAUCUUAGUCAUUAUGAAAUAAAGAUCUGUGAUGAGUUAAUACAACCAUAAACUUGAU
Molecule: long non-coding RNA, 897 nt
Filed under: Nicotiana benthamiana
Lineage: Eukaryota; Viridiplantae; Streptophyta; Magnoliopsida; Solanales; Solanaceae
Description: long non-coding RNA (NBEN_LNC028471)
Source: RNAcentral